GGCCUGGCUUCGCGGCCGGCUGAAGUAUUUUUUUUUCACCCAUGUCUUUUGCGCACUUGUUGUUUCCUGGGCGGGUUCGCCCGCCACCAGGACCAAACCAUAAACCUUUUUUUUUAUGUAGUUGCAAUCAGCGUCAGUAAAAACAAUGUAAUUAUUACAACUUUCAACAACGGAUCUCUUGGUUCUGGCAUCGAUGAAGAACGCAGCGAAAUGCGAUACGUAGUGUGAAUUGCAGAAUUCAGUGAAUCAUCGAAUCUUUGAACGCACAUUGCGCCCUUUGGUAUUCCAAAGGGCAUGCCUGUUCGAGCGUCAUUUGUACCUUCAAGCUUUGCUUGGUGUUGGGCGUUUUUGUCUCUCGUUCUCGGGAGACUCGCCUUAAAACGAUUGGCAGCCGGCCUACUGGUUUCGGAGCGCAGCACAUAUUUUGCGCUUUGUAUCAGGAGAAAAGGACGGUAAUCCAUCAAGACUACAUUUUUUAACUUUUGACCUCGGAU
This 494-nucleotide ribosomal RNA is filed under the name Bipolaris sorokiniana. RNAcentral's name for it is "eukaryotic LSU rRNA". The stretch from base 159 to 312 matches the Rfam family "5.8S ribosomal RNA". The record is from RNAcentral. Lineage: Eukaryota; Fungi; Ascomycota; Dothideomycetes; Pleosporales; Pleosporaceae.